Molecule: transfer RNA, 73 nt
Filed under: Ovis aries (sheep)
Lineage: Eukaryota; Metazoa; Chordata; Mammalia; Artiodactyla; Bovidae
Rfam family: tRNA
About the family: Transfer RNA (tRNA) molecules are approximately 80 nucleotides in length. Their secondary structure includes four short double-helical elements and three loops (D, anti-codon, and T loops).
Source: Rfam by way of RNAcentral
UCCCUGGCAGUCCAGUGGUUAAGACUCUGUGCUUUCAAUGCACAGGGCAUAGGUUUGAUCCCUGGCCGGGGAA